GCGGGGCGGCGUCGGGGGCGGUGUCCUGCGGAGUGUACGGAGCUCAGAACUGGAGACAGCCGGGCGGCGGCCGAGGCGACGGAGGCCCGCCCCUUUACAAGUUGGCAGUUUGUACCUGUGUUCCUCGGGACUUUAGAGCUCGGUCAAAAGGAGUAAUUAUCCUGGCACUAACUUCUUGGCUUAUUUUCAAGGCAAAGGAAAACCAAAAGAUUGUGAAGAUUGUUGUGGAGACCAGUGAUGGAUGGGCUUUGAUGCCCCUUUCUCCAGUGGGGCUUUUCUGAAUAGCCCCUAGUGCUGGCCUCCCAGUGUCACUUCGUAUGGGUAUCACCAAAGAAAUGGACAUUGAAAUUCAGUGACUGUCAUCUGGAAUUGUCACUCCGCAAUUAUGGAAAAUUAUUACUAUAUUAUUUACAAACCUGUUACUGAAAAUAAAGCCAAUGUAGGUAUGCAUCAGUUUA
This is a long non-coding RNA of Cavia porcellus (domestic guinea pig), 458 nucleotides long. RefSeq lists it as uncharacterized. The record is from RefSeq and is a predicted model, not a curated record. NCBI's taxonomy places the organism in Eukaryota, Metazoa, Chordata, Mammalia, Rodentia, Caviidae. The transcript is spliced from 2 exons.